This 415-nucleotide ribosomal RNA is filed under the name uncultured bacterium. Its description in RNAcentral is "bacterial SSU rRNA". It matches the Rfam family "Bacterial small subunit ribosomal RNA", at positions 358 to 774 of the family's 1533-position model. The record is from RNAcentral.
GGAAUCUUCCACAAUGGGCGAAAGCCUGAUGGAGCGACGCCGCGUGAGUGAAGAAGGGCUUCGGCUCGUAAAGCUCUUUUCUUGAGGACGAAUGACCUGUUAGACAGGUAGAGACGGUACUUAGGGAAUAAGCCACGGCUAACUACGUGCCAGCAGCCGCGGUAAUACGUAGGUGGCAAGCGUAUCCGGAUUUAUUGGGCGUAAAGCGAGCGCAGGCGGUUUGAUAAGUCUGAUGUGAAAGCCUUUGGCUUAACCAAAGAAGUGCAUCGGAAACUGUCAGACUUGAGUGCAGAAGAGGACAGUGGAACUCCAUGUGUAGCGGUGGAAUGCGUAGAUAUAUGGAAGAACACCAGUGGCGAAGGCGGCUGUCUGGUCUGCAACUGACGCUGAGGCUCGAAAGCAUGGGUAGCGAACA